UGUGCAAAGGCCCAUGGUGAAGGGUGCCCUUUGCCAUGCUGUGGGGUGGCCUGGACACAGUGGGGUGCCCAUCGCUCCGCCAUGGGGUAACCAGUCCCUAUAGAGAGCCCUUUACCCUGCUGUGGGGUGUCCAGGCUCCAUAGGGUGCCUGUCACACUGCUGUGGGGUGCACCCGUAGGGAGCACCUGAGCCCAUAGGAUGCCCGUGGCACUGCUGGGGGUGCCCAAACACCACAGGGUACCCACACCCUCCUCUGGGGUCUUCAGACCCCAUAGGGUGCCCAUUGCUCCACCCUGGGGUGUGCAGGCCCCACUGGGCACCUAGGCCCUACAGAGUGUGCCCCACACUGCUGGGGGGUGCCCAGGCUGUGUAGGGCGUCCAUCCUAUGGGGUUAAGGAGCAUUAGACUUCAUGGGGUACUUUCACCCUGCUAGGGGUGCCCAGACCCCAAUAGACGCCCAGACCCCACAGGGUGCCCCUCGCCCUCACCACGGGGUGCCCAGACUCCAGAGGGUACCCAUAGGCCUGUUGUAGGGUGCCUGGCCCCAGGAGGGUGCCCUUUGCCCUGGGCAAGGGGUAUCAGACCCCAUGGGAUGCCUACACCCUAUGGGGUGUUCCCCACAGCACUGGGGGUGCCCAGACCCCUCAAGGUACCUCUGAUAUGGGCAACCAUGAUCAUGUCCCAUGCUUCUGCCCCCCCAUGAGGAUGUUUUGGGGACACACACACGUGUAGGGUGCCACCCCCACGCACUGGGGCCGUGCACCCACUCUUCUCUCCCCCCCAGCUCAUCUUCACGCCCACGGGCCCCGUGAGCGCCGUCCGGCCCGAGAGCCCCGCGCCUGCCCCACCACCGGCCCCGCCGCCCGCCCCACCACCCGCCGCCCCCCAGCCUACGCCCCACUGCAGCCGCCCCAGUUCCUGCAGCAGCCGCCGAAGCCGAUCCAGCAGCAGUUUGUCAUCCAGCAGCAGCAGCUAGCGCCCCGCGGGCAGCCCCCCCCCGGGGCCGGCCGCCCCCCAGCUCCAGCCGCUGCCCCCCGCCAGCCCCGGCCCGGUGCCCCCACCCAAAGCGGGGGCCAGCCCGGGGGUCCCCCACGGUGCCGGGGCUGAUGGCGCUGCCCCCAACGGGCACCCCGGCUGCCACGGGGCCCCUCGCAAGUUCCAGCACGCCUCCGCCGUCAUCCUGCAGCUGCAGCCCGCCGGUGCCACGGUGAGGGCCCCCCACCCCCCGGUCCCCCGGUGCCCCCUGCCCGGCUGGCGAGA
Molecule: long non-coding RNA, 1260 nt
Filed under: Anas platyrhynchos platyrhynchos (common mallard)
Lineage: Eukaryota; Metazoa; Chordata; Aves; Anseriformes; Anatidae
Description: lncRNA (ENSAPLG00000024883.1)
Source: RNAcentral